AUACGGAGGGUGCAAGCGUUACUCGGAAUCACUGGGCGUAAAGCGCGCGCAGGCGGCUAUUUAAGUUGGAUGUGAAAGCCUAUGGCUCAACCAUAGAACUGCAUCCAAAACUAUUUAGCUAGAGUGUGGGAGAGGAAGAUGGAAUUAGUUGUGUAGGGGUGAAAUCCGUAGAGAUAACUAGGAAUACCAAAAGCGAAGGCAAUCUUCUGGAACACUACUGACGCUGAGGCGCGAAAGCGUGGGGAGCAAACAGGAUUAGAAACCCUAGUAGUCC
Molecule: ribosomal RNA, 274 nt
Filed under: uncultured bacterium
Lineage: Bacteria
Description: partial 16S ribosomal RNA
Rfam family: Bacterial small subunit ribosomal RNA
Source: RNAcentral